This 549-nucleotide transfer RNA is filed under the name Bradyrhizobium sp. S2.112. Its description in RNAcentral is "partial 16S-23S ribosomal RNA intergenic spacer". The stretch from base 66 to 138 matches the Rfam family "tRNA". Lineage: Bacteria; Pseudomonadati; Pseudomonadota; Alphaproteobacteria; Hyphomicrobiales; Nitrobacteraceae. The record is from RNAcentral. RNAcentral also lists the same sequence under 3 other names.
GGUCGGAAGUUCAAGUCUUCCCAGGCCCACCACUUUCAUCGAGUGUGCAUUCGUCUUCUGGUUACGGGGCCAUAGCUCAGCUGGGAGAGCGCGUGCUUUGCAAGCAUGAGGUCGUCGGUUCGAUCCCGUCUGGCUCCACCAGAUGGUUUGAUCACCAACGACAUGAUGACCGUCGUCCGCGAAACAUCACUUCGCACCCACUAGUCCGGAUGGACAGUGACGUGCGUGAUUUCUGACAUCGUAAAGAGGAGAUCGAUCCGAGUUGGAUCGGGCAACAAGCAAUUGUUGCGCGAUACUUCAUUAUCUCCGGAUCAUUUCGGCGCUUGCGCGCCUUUCAGUGUGGCUCACAAGGCUGCGUCUGAAAGACGAGCGAGUUGUAAAUGAUCCUUUUAGCGAAGCUUGACCGCCUCGCUAUCGGAACGAUCUUACGAAGCAAGCUGGUCUUUCUAAUCAUUGUCCGGCUGCAGAUAGCGUUCAUCGAGGGCGCGUGCCGCAAGGUAAUUCUGCAGACAACAUUCUGCCGAGUGUGUGGACAUUGAUAAUGAGAGC